Molecule: unclassified non-coding RNA, 267 nt
Filed under: Hevea brasiliensis (rubber tree)
Lineage: Eukaryota; Viridiplantae; Streptophyta; Magnoliopsida; Malpighiales; Euphorbiaceae
Source: RNAcentral
AAACUUUGAGUUGUGUUCAUCAAUGGCUUCCAGUCCUCGAACACGACCAUCUUCUCAAAGCCCUAACCCUAAACCCACCAAAAACAAAACUUCCUCUUCUUCUUCUGCUUCUCGUCCUUCUACAUCAUCCAGAAGUAUUCCUUUACAACCUUCCUCAAACUUAUUCCCUUCCUCUAAAUCAGAGUUUUCAAGGCUCAUCGCCGUCGUCGUCGUUGCCUCCGCCGUCGCAUUUUCCUGCAACUAUGUUUUCACCUAUCUCAAUAGCCA